UGAUAACUUCCCAAGGCCAGUCGAACCCACGUGCGUCCACGUGAACGCACAAGGUCAGGGAAUCCGGUGGGACUCCGGAGCUGACGCGCAGCGGUGAGGGUGACGGGCGGGGCAGCAAGGCCACUGGACGGUUCGUCCGGGAAGGCGUCCCGGCUGGACGAUCCCGAGUCCGAAGACCUGCUGGCGGCCUCCGGCCGAA
RNAcentral lists this non-coding RNA (199 nucleotides) under Streptomyces acidiscabies. Lineage: Bacteria; Bacillati; Actinomycetota; Actinomycetes; Kitasatosporales; Streptomycetaceae. The record is from RNAcentral.